GAUGAAGAACUCAGCGAAAUGCGAUACGUAAUGUGAAUUGCAAAUUCAGUGAAUCAUCGAGUCUUUGAACGCACAUUGCGCCCCCUGGUAUUCCGGGGGGCAUGCCUGUCCGAGCGUCAUUGCUGCCCUCAAGCACGGCUUGUGUGUUGGGCCCCGUCCUCCGAUCCCGGGGGACGGGCCCGAAAGGCAGCGGCGGCACCGCGUCCGGUCCUCGAGCGUAUGGGGUUUUGUCACCCGCUCUGUAGGCCCGGCCGGCGCUUGCCGAUCAACCCAAAUUUUUUAUCCAGGUUGACCUCGGAUCAGGUAGGGAUACCCGCUGAACUUAAGCAUAUCAAUAAGCGGAGGA
This 346-nucleotide unclassified non-coding RNA is filed under the name soil metagenome. Its description in RNAcentral is "partial contains 5.8S ribosomal RNA, internal transcribed spacer 2, and large subunit ribosomal RNA". The stretch from base 1 to 119 matches the Rfam family "5.8S ribosomal RNA", at positions 35 to 154 of the family's 154-position model. The record is from RNAcentral.